Molecule: ribosomal RNA, 599 nt
Filed under: Bacillus sp. CH120b_4D
Lineage: Bacteria; Bacillati; Bacillota; Bacilli; Caryophanales; Bacillaceae
Also listed under: 1 other name
Description: bacterial SSU rRNA
Rfam family: Bacterial small subunit ribosomal RNA
Source: RNAcentral
UAUACUGCAAGUCGAGCGGACCGACGGGAGCUUGCUCCCUUAGGUCAGCGGCGGACGGGUGAGUAACACGUGGGUAACCUGCCUGUAAGACUGGGAUAACUCCGGGAAACCGGGGCUAAUACCGGAUGCUUGAUUGAACCGCAUGGUUCAAUCAUGAAAGGCGGCUUCGGCUGCCGUUUACAGAUGGACCCGCGGCGCAUUAGCUAGUUGGUGAGGUAACGGCUCACCAAGGCGACGAUGCGUAGCCGACCUGAGAGGGUGAUCGGCCACACUGGGACUGAGACACGGCCCAGACUCCUACGGGAGGCAGCAGUAGGGAAUCUUCCGCAAUGGACGAAAGUCUGACGGAGCAACGCCGCGUGAGUGAUGAAGGUUUUCGGAUCGUAAAGCUCUGUUGUUAGGGAAGAACAAGUACCGUUCGAAUAGGGCGGUACCUUGACGGUACCUAACCAGAAAGCCACGGCUAACUACGUGCCAGCAGCCGCGGUAAUACGUAGGUGGCAAGCGUUGUCCGGAAUUAUUGGGCGUAAAGCGCGCGCAGGCGGUUUCUUAAGUCUGAUGUGAAAGCCCCCGGCUCAACCGGGGAGGGUCAUUGGAAA